UUCCAGACUCCUACGGGAGGCAGCAGUGAGGAAUAUUGGUCAAUGGGCGCGAGCCUGAACCAGCCAAGUCGCGUGAGGGAUGACGGCCCUACGGGUUGUAAACCUCUUUUGUCGGGGAGCAAAUUCCGUUACGUGUAACGGAGUCGAGAGUACCCGAAGAAAAAGCAUCGGCUAACUCCGUGCCAGCAGCCGCGGUAAUACGGAGGAUGCGAGCGUUAUCCGGAUUUAUUGGGUUUAAAGGGUGCGUAGGCGGAAUAUCAAGUCAGCGGUAAAAAUUCGGGGCUCAACCCCGUCGUGCCGUUGAAACUGAUGUUCUUGAGUGGGCGAGAAGUAUGCGGAAUGCGUGGUGUAGCGGUGAAAUGCAUAGAUAUCACGCAGAACUCCGAUUGCGAAGGCAGCAUACCGGCGCCCAGCUGACGCUGAAGCACGAAAGCGUGGGUAUCGAACAGGAUUAGAUACCCUCGUA
Molecule: ribosomal RNA, 466 nt
Filed under: uncultured bacterium
Lineage: Bacteria
Description: bacterial SSU rRNA
Rfam family: Bacterial small subunit ribosomal RNA
Source: RNAcentral